RNAcentral lists this small RNA (2726 nucleotides) under Malus domestica (apple). Its description in RNAcentral is "sRNA MD07G0031100". Lineage: Eukaryota; Viridiplantae; Streptophyta; Magnoliopsida; Rosales; Rosaceae. The record is from RNAcentral.
UGUGUUGGAGACGUUGCUCAAGGAACAGCUGCUCCCUACCACUCUUCACGCUCUCUAUAUCCACGGAAUGAGAAGUCUGAAAUCUUUGGAGGGAAAGGGACUUCAACACCUCACUUGUCUUCAAAAGCUCGGAAUUAGCAGCUGUGAUAGUCUCGAAUUCCUGCCAAAAGAGGGUCUUCCGGCAUCGCUCUCUUUCCUGAGUAUCGAAAGGUGUUCUUCUCUGGAGAGGAGGUGUCAGGAGAAGACGGGAGAAGAGUGGAUGAAGAUAGCUCACAUUCCUUGCAUCAAGAUAGACGACCAAGUCAUCAUUUGAGAUCUCAAGUCAAAGUGAGAUAGCAAAUUGUGCUGUAAAGAUUGAAUUACCUAAGUCCAUUGCAUCCAUCAAUUAGUUGUCUAUGAAUGGUUCUCCUGCAGUGUGACAUGAAUAUGAUUCUCCUUCAAUUGGAUAGAUCUGUUUUGGUACAUACACAGCUGUUGAAGUGAGAACGGGUGACGAUGACCACAAAACUAAAAUGAGAGCAAGUUUCUUUGGAGUGCUGCCCUCAUGCUUGCGCUUGAUGGAAGUUAGUACAUUAUGUUACAAGAGGUGGGUGGUUGCUGCACUACACAUUUCACAGGAACGAUAUUUCUUAUGUUGAACACUGAGAUAACAAAAAUUGAAUUCCAUUUUUUAAUUGGAAACCAGUGUGAACCAGUGUUGGUUCACCAAGAAAACAAGGGAAGAAGAAAUCUCUUGAUGGAAGCAAUGAUAUGAACUUGGAUGCAUCUCCAAAAUCUGAUGAGCAGGAAACUAAGAAAACGAAGCAGGAGGAGUUGAUGGAAAUUUAUAAUGGCAGCAGAGAUGGUACUGCUGCUAAGAGAAAUAAGAAUGACAAUGCCAAGGAAGUCAGAAAGCAUCUUAAAGUCGAGGAUUGAGACUCAAGAGGUUGAUUUUGGCAGCAGAGAUGGCAAUGUGUGUUGGUUCACGUAGCAAACGAGAGAAGGAGAACGCCCUUGAUCAGAGCGAAGAUGUGAAGUACUCGGAUGUAGCAAAGCAGGACGAGUUGAUGGGAACUUGGAAUGCAUCAGAGAUGGUGGUGCUGCUGUGAAUGAGAAUGAUGUCAAGGUCAAGGGCAAGGCUGCAAGAGGGUGUCGCAGGGUCAAGGAAUGCCGCGUUGAGAGCAGAGAGAUAGAUAUUGAGCUUCCCCUACCUCAGGGUACCAUUAGCUGCUGAGGAUAUAGAAAAUGCUCUCCAGUUUUUGAAGUUCUGUGAAACAUUUAGCGAGAUCUCUAUAGCAAACAAGCACCAACUGCUCAUGGUUCCAAGAUUUGGAGAACCUGAUCUCCGCAUCCAGGGUCUCAAGGGUUGACCCCGUUAUGAAGGAGUUGCCUUCUGAGUGUUUUAGUGAAGGCAGGGAUGGAUAUGAUGCCUUAAGCUUCUCCCAAAAUCUUAGGCUUUUGAAUUUCCUCUGUGAUGGGGCUCUUAAUGCAAAUCCCUUGUCCAGGACGCUGAGGGGAUGGAUUGAGGAGCAAAAUAAAAGAGUUGUCCAAUGUAAAGGGUUUGCUCUAGCAAAGAAUAAGGAGAGAGAUCUCCAAGCAAAGUCGCUGGAGGAGAUGGCUAAGAGAACCACUGCAGAUAAUGGCAGUGCUGUCCCAAUUUCAGAGUUGGACUCCAUUGUUUCAUUACUCUGACGUAAGGCUGCUCGAGCUCACACGGAGGUGGUCGAUGCUAUGGCCAUGAUACCGGAAAGCGAUGGAAUAUGUGAGGCUGUUAGAAUACAGCCUUAUCUUGUCGAUGCUGAUGGACAUUGCUUUUGGAAACUGAAAGGCGAUUUUGGUGAAGAUAUAUUGCUUCAAGAUUUGGGAACCUGGGAUGGAACUCCAUCUGGUGAACAACGGUCCGUCUGCAGUGCUAAAGAGCCAAUAGACAAAUACCGCUCUUCCCCGGCUCUAAAGGAAAAACAGGCCAAGAGGGAGCGAAGGCAUUCCAAAUACUUGCAGCUUUCCCAAACUUCUUCGGAAAGCAAUAAUAAAAAUGCGCAGGUUUCCCAGACUCCUGAUAGCAAUGGCAAAAAGGGGCAGGUUUCCCAAGCUCCUGAAUGCAAUCGAGAGAACAUGGAGCUCGGUCCUGAGGUGAAUUAAACUUUUUUAGCCCAGAAGACAUUAAAUUCCUUUUCUUUUUCGUAAAUACAUAGGAAGGGGUAUACAUGUGCGAGAAAAUAUGUAUACAUACAACUAUACGAGUUGGCUGCCCAGGUUUCUGUAUGCAUUCCUACAUGGGAAAGCUGUUUCCCAGUUCGGAUUUCGCUCUCUACAAAUCUGAAGGGGCGGCGGUCUUGAGAAACCGGCACAGCUGCCUCCGAGCAGAAAGAAUUGAGAAGAGUGGUCCUGAUAUAUUGGGAUGAGCUUUGUCAUAGUUAUUUCUUAACAGCUUAUGAAAUUUUCAUGUAUCUUCAUCUCUUGAUAUAUGCUCCCAGUUCAACCUUCAAACUAUUGCGAAGUACCCUGGGUUUGGUCUUUAUGUGUUCGUUUGAGAUUGCUUUUGUAGGAGUCAUUUUUUUGUUCAUAAGCAUUUUCUAAAACUGCUUUUAUUAGAGCUUUGGACUUGGUGGGGAGUGAUAUAAGAAGAGCUAAAAGUGUUUUCUAACAACUAAACACUUUUUGACUGCGUUGGGUAGGAAAGGUUGUUAGAUGCUUCUUUAGAAAGCAUCAUUGGAUUUUUUUAACAAAAAUUUCAUGCUUCUUAA